This 253-nucleotide ribosomal RNA is filed under the name uncultured bacterium. RNAcentral describes it as "partial 16S ribosomal RNA". It matches the Rfam family "Bacterial small subunit ribosomal RNA", at positions 524 to 776 of the family's 1533-position model. The record is from RNAcentral.
UACGUAGGGUGCGAGCGUUAAUCGGAAUUACUGGGCGUAAAGGGCUCGUAGGCGGCCAACUAAGUCCGACGUGAAAUCCCCAGGCUUAACCUGGGAACUGCGUCGGAUACUGGAUGGCUUGAAUCCGGGAGAGGGAUGCGGAAUUCCAGGUGUAGCGGUGAAAUGCGUAGAUAUCUGGAGGAACACCGGUGGCGAAGGCGGCAUCCUGGACCGGCAUUGACGCUGAGGAGCGAAAGCCAGGGGAGCAAACGGG